Molecule: long non-coding RNA, 1504 nt
Filed under: Marmota monax (woodchuck)
Lineage: Eukaryota; Metazoa; Chordata; Mammalia; Rodentia; Sciuridae
Source: RNAcentral
GAUAAAUCCUUGAGUGAAGUUUCAAAUUUUAGCAUGUACAACUUAAAUGCAUUGCAAAAUGAGACAUGUUUCUAUUGUAAUUUAUGCUGCAUAAAGUUUUGUGGUGAAGUUUUAGGUUGCUUCAGUGUAGUUUUUAUUUAUGUGACUUGUGCAACUUGACAUAGUAAUAUAGUCUGUUUUAUCAGGUGUGCUAGUAUUCAUUAGAUUUACAGUAUGAAUCUAAUGCUGGGUACAAACUUAGUUUGUCUCACUGUUCUAGAACCAUGGAAUAAUGAACACUCUCACUGAAAUGAAUGCUUUAAAUAUUUUAAUUUUUGUUAAAUAAUUCCUGGUGAAAAUGUAUUGAAGUCUCUGUUUUCUUAAAUAUAAUAGGGCUUCUUUGAUGACAUGUUCAUUGUAUACUGUUGUUUAUUUAUGAUUCUAUAAUUCUAGCAGGGUUGAUGACUCUGAUACAUUAAAACCUCAGACUACUAUAUAGUCUUGGCUUCUCUUCAUCUGUUUCCAGACUCUCUUUUCUGUGGCCUCCAUGAAUAGGAAUGUCCACUCAUUAAAUCCGUACCUAAUUCUUUAUUUCCUCUUAGACUAAAGGCAGCUUAUUUUAGCCCAGUAGUCUGGUCCUGUAGCCCUACAUUCUUAUAAAGGCAUCAUUAAACAUCAGAGAGUCUGCAUACACAAGCUUAGGUAGCUUGAGUCGGUUAUCAACUUGUCCUCUUUUUUUUUUUUAAAUAUUUAUUUAUUUAUUUUAGUUUUCGGCGGACACAACAUCUUUGUUUGUAUGUGGUGCUGAGGAUCGAACCCGGGCCGCACGCAUGCCAGGCGAGCACGCUACCGCUUGAGCCACAUCCCCAGCCCUCAACUUGUCCUCUUGAUGCAACCAGGAGAUGCAGUAAACACAAGAUGUGUGAGGUUGCUAUUGGCAUAACAGUAGACUUGUAUACUUUAAAACAACAACAAAGCAUAGUAUAGUAAAUAUAUAAACCAUUAAAGUUAUUAUUAUUACUGUGCAUAAUGUAUGUGCUAUACUUUACUAUAUUUUUUCUUUUGCAAUGCUGGGGAUCAAACCUUGGGCCAUAUGCAUGCCUGCAUGCACUCUACCACUGAGCUACAUCCCCAGCCCUGUGCUGAUUUUUAUAUGAUUGGUAGAACAAUAGGUUUGUUUAUACCAGCAUCAUCACAAACACGUGAAGAAUGCAUUGUGUUAGCAUGUCUGUGAUGUCACUGUUGUGUAUGAAAUUUGUUGUUGGCCAAGAUAUUAUUAUGUGAUGUAUGAUUUUAUUUUCAUGUUCUGUUUUGGACUCUGUGGUAGAUGUUUUAUGCUUAGAUGUGCAGGGCAGGAAGAGGAGGAAAAUGAAAGAUUUUAGUGAAUACAGAAUGGAGAAGAAAUAUGUCAAUAUUUCCAAUAAUCGUUCAGCCAUUUAUUUCAGAUCACUCAGAUGAUUUCAAAUGAACUUUGGAAUUAUGAGGAAAUAUCAGUGGGAUCUUCUAACACAGAAGUAACGGAAGG